AAGGGCACCACAAGAACGCGUGGAGCAUGUGGCUUAAUUUGACUCAACGCAGGAAAUCUUACCAGGUCCGGACACACUGAGGAUUGACAGGAAAUUUCGAAAAAAAUUUCACUCUGUACUUGUACAAGUGUUUGCUUUUAGAAAAAAUAAGCUAGUCCUUUCAUGAUGAUGUGAUAGGUGGUGCAUGGCCGUUCUUAGUUCGUGGAGUGAUCUGUCUGCUUAAUUGCGUUUCAAACAAAAAUUCUACACCAAAACAUAUAAAUGCUGGAUCGUGACGCCUCUCUUCAUUUAUUUGUUGAAGCUGAAACGUUGAAGGCUUUAUUCGUAGAUACCCGAAAUAAACGAACGUGAUCGCAACCUCUUGUUGCCUGUACUCUCAACAAAGGCGUUCAAACUUUUUAGUUUGCGUCUCAUAAACAGGCUUUAUAAUAAUAAACUCGAGGAACCGCUGCUCUUACCUAAACCAGAGGAAGGUUGCGGCAAUAACAGGUCUGUGAUGCCCUUAGAUGUUCUGGGCUGCACACGUGCUACAAUGAUUGUAGCAGUGAGCGUCUUUAAACAAAAGUUGUUAACACGAGCAGAUUUGUUUUUGUUUCUGUGUUCAACUAAGCCUACUUCGUCAGUAAGUGGGUAACCAAUUCGAAGUAACAAUUAUUAAAAUGCACACAAAUGGCUAGCACCAUUGGUCGACCUAACCUUCUGGUUAGUGUUCGUCUCCUUUGGUGAGUAUCUCCGGAUGCUUUUCAACUCAGUCGUGCAAUUAUCAAUUCAAGGUGGGGACAGAAGAUUGUUAAUUGUUCUUCUCGGUCUUAACUAGGAAUGCCUCGUACCGGUUUGGUUCAUCAGACCACCGGGAAUGCGUCCCUGCCCUUUGUACACACCGCCCGUCGCUCUUACCGAUGGAAUUCUCUGUGAGUUUGAAGGACUGGGUCAAAAAGUCAUCGCUGGUUUUUUGUUGUGUCAGAAAUUUAAACGAACAGUCGGUUCUAAAGGAAAGAGAAGUCGUAACAAGGCAUCGGUAGGUGAACC
This 1029-nucleotide ribosomal RNA is filed under the name Rotaliella sp. 1002. RNAcentral's name for it is "SSU rRNA". It matches the Rfam family "Eukaryotic small subunit ribosomal RNA", at positions 1160 to 1815 of the family's 1831-position model. The record is from RNAcentral. Lineage: Eukaryota; Foraminifera; Rotaliida; Rotaliidae.